This 1629-nucleotide long non-coding RNA is filed under the name Equus asinus (donkey). RNAcentral's name for it is "lncRNA (ENSEASG00005027172.1)". The record is from RNAcentral. Lineage: Eukaryota; Metazoa; Chordata; Mammalia; Perissodactyla; Equidae.
GCCAUCCUUUCCUUGGGGUGAAAGGCUUCUCUUCAGGUCCCCUCCACCCGCCUUUUUGCCACCUUUUGAAAUUUUUUCCAGCCUCAAUCAAAAGCCCCGUCCUGUUAUCUGUAGCAGAAAAGGAACUGCCAAGCCUCUGACUCAUGCUAACUGUGUGGUGUGGGCAAGGUACUUAACCUCCCCGAGAGUCACCUCAAGCAAUUGUGAAAGAGUUAAUAAUACCUCAUUUAAUUUUUCUGCGGAAGAAAUAAUAUAAGGUUCAUUUCCCCCCGAAGAGCAGGUAGCCGGGUGUUUGCCAACGACACCCUUCCAUCAAAAGGGAGCAUCUGAAGAGCUGACAUCCCCUCAUGGGAUGACCGAGCUGCGUUUCUGCGUUGGGUCCUCAUGCCCCCACGAAGAGGAAGUGGUAUUUCAGGGAUGGCAGAUGACAACGUGACAUCACCCACCUCCGUCAGCGCUCAUUUCGUUUCUUCAAUUUCAACAAGGAGAUGAUGGCAAAGCUUCAGGCCAAUGAUGGGGCUCCCAUGCACCUGCCUCACUGGACGAAUGACAGAGGAUGAAGGCCCCAGAAGAACAACUCAUGUCGACAGAGUGGAGGAACGAAGGCCUUGUUCUGUGGCUCCAGAAAUUCAGUUGUUCCCUUUCAACCCAAUUAUCUGCCAAAGAGACCCAGCUGUGGUAUAGUAAAAACAAGACUGAGAGUCCAGCCUCUGAAGAAGCCGUUCUUCGGAUGCACCCCCUCCAAUGGCGGCAGUGGAAAUCUACCCCAACUUGCCAAGGCAUGAUCUGCCUAGGCAGCCUGCUUCUUUGGGACUGACCCAGUGACUGUUUGACCACAAAAUCCUUGGUAAAAGGAAUUGAAAAUUCUUGCUUCUGAUCAACAAGCUUCCCCUGCCAUGCAAAUUAGGACACGUCCAUAGGACAAAUUACCACACAGUGGAGUCUCAUGUCCUCAGACCGGAAGCCACACCUACCUCAGAGACGCUGCCCUCCCUCUGCUGUGACACCUCUGGAUUGUGGGCCCGUCUGGUGAGCCAAGCACGCACACACGGAGAAGGCAACUGAGCAGGGCCCACACUCCUACCAGGACCAAGCCCGACUCUUGAGGGUACAGGGUGGGCACUUAAUGAAGGUUUGAUGAAUGAACGAACAAAUGAAUGCAUGAAUGAUCCCUGCAAAAAGAGGGCCUUUCCAUUUCAAAAACUCUAAAGUCCAGGUGAAUAUGCUGAGGGACUAUAAGAACACAGAGGUGUGACUGCAGACCUACAGUCAAUAAUCCUAAAAAACACACAAAGAAUAAGAGAAGACGGGAGAUAGGAAAAUGUACCCAUUUCCAAAAGUAGAGGGAAUGUGGAGUCUGAAAACUACAGACAAAAAUAUAAAAAGCUAUGAGUGUGAGAAAAGAAAGCGGCCACACCAGUCCGUUCACAAAAACAUGCCGUGCACAGGAAGCUCACGCAGGCCCCCACUCCUGACUCUUCAAGUUCUGCGUAGGUCCACCAGCUCACUCGGAAUCCCUCACUUAGAGGUCGAACCUCCUCAGACUUGCUGCUCUAUUCCUGAAGAGGAAGAUUUUCUCCUUCUGCUUAACACCGUGGAGGUCACCGCUUCCAGCAAACUUCAGAAUUU